GAUGAACGCUGGCGGCGUGCCUAAUACAUGCAAGUCGAGCGAACGGACGAGAAGCUUGCUUCUCUGAUGUUAGCGGCGGACGGGUGAGUCACACGUGGAUAACCUACCUAUAAGACUGGGAUAACUUCGGGAAACCGGAGCUAAUACCGGAUAAUAUUUUGAACCGCAUGGUUCAAAAGUGAAAGACGUUCUUGCUGUCACUUAUAGAUGGAUCCGCGCUGCAUUAGCUAGUUGGUAAGGUAACGGCUUACCAAGGCAACGAUGCAUAGCCGACCUGAGAGGGUGAUCGGCCACACUGGAACUGAGACACGGUCCAGACUCCUACGGGAGGCAGCAGUAGGGAAUCUUCCGCAAUGGGCGAAAGCCUGACGGAGCAACGCCGCGUGAGUGAAGAAGGUCUUCGGAUUGUAAAACUCUGUUAUUAGGGAAGAACAUAUGUGUAAGUAACUGUGCACAUCUUGACGGUACCUAAUCAGAAAGCCACGGCUAACUACGUG
Molecule: ribosomal RNA, 497 nt
Filed under: uncultured bacterium
Lineage: Bacteria
Description: partial 16S ribosomal RNA
Rfam family: Bacterial small subunit ribosomal RNA
Source: RNAcentral